RNAcentral lists this ribosomal RNA (450 nucleotides) under uncultured Glomus. Its description in RNAcentral is "SSU rRNA". It matches the Rfam family "Eukaryotic small subunit ribosomal RNA", at positions 569 to 1024 of the family's 1831-position model. The record is from RNAcentral. Lineage: Eukaryota; Fungi; Glomeromycota; Glomeromycetes; Glomerales; Glomeraceae.
AGCAGCCGCGGUAAUUCCAGCUCCAAUAGCGUAUAUUAAAGUUGUUGCAGUUAAAAAGCUCGUAGUUGAAUUUCGGGAUCAAUAUGUCGGUCGUGCCAUCGGUACGUACUGGUAUCAUUGGUUUCUCCUUUCUGACGAACCAUGAUGUCAUUAAUUUGGUGUUAUGGGGAGUUAGGACUGUUACUUUGAAAAAUUAGAGUGUUUGAAGCAGGCUUUAGCUUGAAUACAUUAGCAUGGAAUAAUGAAAUAGGACGUUUGAUUCUAUUUUGUUGGUUUCUAGGAUCGACGUAAUGAUUAAUAGGGAUAGUUGGGGGCAUUAGUAUUCAAUUGUCAGAGGUGAAAUUCUUGGAUUUAUUGAAGACUAACUACUGCGAAAGCAUUUGCCAAGGAUGUUUUCAUUAAUCAAGAACGAAAGUUAGGGGAUCGAAGACGAUCAGAUACCGUCGUAGU